AUUUUUCGGUUGAUCCUGCCGGACCUGACUGCUAUCUGAUUGGUACUAAGCCAUGCGAGUCGUUGUAGCAAUACAAGGCGGACUGCUCAGUAACACAUAGUUAACUUAACCUAUGGAUGGGAAUAACCUCGGGAAACUGAGAAUAAUACCCAAUGGGCCACAGUGCCUGGAAUGGCCUGUGGUUGAAAUGAUUUAUCGCCGUAGGAUAGGACUGCGGCCUAUCAGCUUGUUGGUGAGGUAAUGGCCCACCAAGGCUAUAACAGGUACGGGCUCUGAGAGGAGGGGCCCGGAGAUGGGUACUGAGACACGGACCCAGGCCCUAUGGGGCGCAGCAGGCGAGAAACCUUUGCAAUGUGCGAAAGCACGACAAGGUUAAUCCGAGUGUCUCCUGCUAAAGGAGUCUUUUGUCAGUUGUAGAAUCACCGGUGAAUAAGGGGUGGGCAAGUUCUGGUGUCAGCCGCCGCGGUAAAACCAGCACCUCGAGUGGUCAGGAGGUUUAUUGGGCCUAAAGCAUCCGUAGCCGGUUGCAUAAGUUUUCGGUUAAAUCUAUGCGCUUAACGUAUAGGCCGCCGAAAAUACUGUGCAGCUAGGGAGUGGG
Molecule: ribosomal RNA, 598 nt
Filed under: uncultured archaeon
Lineage: Archaea
Description: bacterial SSU rRNA
Rfam family: Archaeal small subunit ribosomal RNA
Source: RNAcentral